RNAcentral lists this small RNA (28 nucleotides) under Bombyx mori (domestic silkworm). RNAcentral describes it as "ovarian small RNA-2926". Lineage: Eukaryota; Metazoa; Arthropoda; Insecta; Lepidoptera; Bombycidae. The record is from RNAcentral.
UACAAUAUGCAUAAAAGUAAUAUAGGUA